CACUCGAACCCAAAACCCGAGUUCUCGAAAUUCCACCAAGGAAUUACUGUUGACCAAACAGGGUCGAAGCACACCCUGUAGCAGAAACCAUACCACAUGCUGGAUCAAAAGGUCCACUGCCAAUAUUGUCACCUUCAAUGAUUUCUAAAGCAUUACAGACAUCUCCAAAACUAUACCUACACUCCAUGAGUCCAUUGGCAUUACAAGAACACAGUGUACCCGCUAAAAUUGGUGG
This 235-nucleotide long non-coding RNA is filed under the name Olea europaea (common olive). Its description in RNAcentral is "long non-coding RNA (OEUR_LNC013139)". The record is from RNAcentral. Lineage: Eukaryota; Viridiplantae; Streptophyta; Magnoliopsida; Lamiales; Oleaceae.